This 253-nucleotide ribosomal RNA is filed under the name uncultured bacterium. RNAcentral's name for it is "partial 16S ribosomal RNA". It matches the Rfam family "Bacterial small subunit ribosomal RNA", at positions 524 to 776 of the family's 1533-position model. The record is from RNAcentral.
UACGUAGGGUGCAAGCGUUGCCCGGAUUUAUUGGGCGUAAAGGGCGCGUAGGCGGCUCUGCACGUCCGUUGUGAAAUCGCCCGGCUCAACUGGGCGGGGUCAGCGGAUACGGCAGAGCUUGAGCAAGCUAGGGGGCAAUGGAAUUCCCGGUGUAGUGGUGGAAUGCGUAGAUAUUGGGAGGAACACCAGUGGCGAAGGCGGCUCACUGGACCGGUUCUGACGCUGAGGCGCGAAAGCGUGGGGAGCAAACGGG